AAAACAACUCCCAGACAACCUAUUCACGUGAGAGCUCAAAGCAGCCAUAAUUUUCUGCACUCAAAAUCUUUCCGGUAAGGUUCUCCGCGUAUUGUCUCCUUGGUAAUUGGAAAACAUGGGACUGGGAGUGCAAUUGCAGGGCAUCUCCAGUCCUCCAGGAUACGAUCUGGCUGCUACAGAAGAGGACCAGGAGGAAGCUCUGCUCAGAAAAAGGAUAGAAAGGCAGCAUGGAAACCCUGCUUCAAGGAAACACGAGAUUCACUAUGCUCUUGGCGAACCUCCCGCGAAAAGAGACUUCUAGGUGAGCCACAGUCGUGAGUUUGGAUAACAUGGGAAUAGCUUCCUGGAAAGUGGCGUUCCACUUGCAGUUACUCCAAGAGUUGCAAAAAGAACAGAGAACCUGAUUUAAGAGGAGGGGAGUCUUGCAGAGUCGCGGGAGCUCUGGUCCUGGAGAUUCAGCCAUGCGCACAUUUGUGCGCACUCAGUGCCUGCUGAUUCUGCUGAGCAGCAAACUGUGCACUGCUCAGGCUUCGGAACUUUUACAAAUAAUUCGUAGCCAAAAGGACGUCUUGCGGAAUUGUUACCUAUGAAGAGGUUAAGGAAAAAUUCAGCACCGAAAUCCUAGUCUUGAUUCUGAACACUCUACUUGCUCUGUUCUCCCUUAGGGAGGAAGGAUCCCCAGAGAGGCUCCCUGACCACUGCAAGCACUUCUCAAAGGGCUUGAAGGAGCUCAACGAAAAAACCCCAUUGCUGCCCAAGACUUCUGAGAGCCAAACUGGUAGAUUUGUGCAACCUGCAGUGAAAUUGUCCACACCGAUACGCAAAGGUUAAACUCUGUGCCUUUAUAAGCAGGCAGAAAGGAUUCCAGUUUCCUUAGGUGUUCGCUGAUUGGGAUCCGGAAGACCACAGCAAAUGGAUUCGCUUCCUCCUUUGUGCUUUCUCCUCCAGGGAGGAAGGAUCCCCAGAGAGGCUCCCUGACCACUGCAAGCACUUCUCAAAGGGCUUGAAGGAGCUCAACGAAAAAACCCCAUUGCUGCCCAAGACUUCUGAGAGCCAAACUGGUAGAUUUGUGCAACCUGCAGUGAAAUUGUCCACACCGAUACGCAAAGGUUAAACUCUGUGCCUUUAUAAGCAGGCAGAAAGGAUUCCAGCUUCCGUAGGUGUUCGCUGAUUGGGAUCCAGAAGACCACAGCAAAUGGAUUCGCUUCCUCCUUUGUGCUUUCUCCUCCAGGUGUUGUGAGACCUUGUGCUCUUGUCCUGAAAUCAUUUAGAAAAGUUUACCUGCUGCCAUUUAUGUUAACUUAGAAAGUAACUUGUCCAAAUUCCUCAGGGAGGAAGGAUCCCCAGAGAGGCUCCCUGACCACUGCAAGCACUUCUCAAAGGGCUUGAAGGAGCUCAACGAAAAAACCCCAUUGCUGCCCAAGACUUCUGAGAGCCAAACUGGUAGAUUUGUGCAACCUGCAGUGAAAUUGUCCACACCGAUACGCAAAGGUUAAACUCUGUGCCUUUAUAAGCAGGCAGAAAGGAUUCCAGCUUCCGUAGGUGUUCGCUGAUUGGGAUCCAGAAGACCACAGCAAAUGGAUUCGCUUCCUCCUUUGUGCUUUCUCCUCCAGGGAGGAAGGAUCCCCAGAGAGGCUCCCUGACCACUGCAAGCACUUCUCAAAGGGCUUGAAGGAGCUCAACGAAAAAACCCCAUUGCUGCCCAAGACUUCUGAGAGCCAAACUGGUAGAUUUGUGCAACCUGCAGUGAAAUUGUCCACACCGAUACGCAAAGGUUAAACUCUGUGCCUUUAUAAGCAGGCAGAAAGGAUUCCAGCUUCCGUAGGUGUUCGCUGAUUGGGAUCCGGAAGACCACAGCAAAUGGAUUCGCUUCCUCCUUUGUGCUUUCUCCUCCAGGGAGGAAGGAUCCCCAGAGAGGCUCCCUGACCACUGCAAGCACUUCUCAAAGGGCUUGAAGGAGCUCAACGAAAAAACCCCAUUGCUGCCCAAGACUUCUGAGAGCCAAACUGGUAGAUUUGUGCAACCUGCAGUGAAAUUGUCCACACCGAUACACAAAGGUUAAACUCUGUGCCUUUAUAAGCAGGCAGAAAGGAUUCCAGUUUCCUUAGGUGUUCGCUGAUUGGGAUCCGGAAGACCACAGCAAAUGGAUUCGCUUCCUCCUUUGUGCUUUCUCCUCCAGGGAGGAAGGAUCCCCAGAGAGGCUCCCUGACCACUGCAAGCACUUCUCAAAGGGCUUGAAGGAGCUCAACGAAAAAACCCCAUUGCUGCCCAAGACUUCUGAGAGCCAAACUGGUAGAUUUGUGCAACCUGCAGUGAAAUUGUCCACACUAUACGCAAAGAUUAAACUCUGUGUCUUUAUAAGCAGGCAGAAAGGAUUCCAGCUUCCUUAGGUGUUCGCUGAUUGGGAUCCAGAAGCCCGCAACAAAUGGAUUCGCUUCCUCCUUUGUGCUUUCUCCUCCAGGGAGGAAGGAUCCCCAGAGAGGCUCCCUGACCACUGCAAGCACUUCUCAAAGGGCUUGAAGGAGCUCAACGAAAAAACCCCAUUGCUGCCCAAGACUUCUGAGAGCCAAACUGGUAGAUUUGUGCAACCUGCAGUGAAAUUGUCCACACCGAUACGCAAAGGUUAAACUCUGUGCCUUUAUAAGCAAGCAGAAAGGAUUCCAGCUUCCUUAGGUGUUCGCUGAUUGGGAUCCAGAAGACCACAGCAAAUGGAUUCGCUUCCUCCUUUGUGCUUUCUCCUCCAGAUGCGUGGGUGAGCUUGAAGAUGGUUGAGGACCAAUAACCUGAGAAAGAGAAAUGUAUCCAAGCCCUUUAUGUGAGAUAGUGUAACUUUGUGAUAAACAGAUAUACCAGUGAGGGGGAGUCAUUCGGUGAAACAAGGAGAGGAUUCCUGAUAGAAUUGGGGCGGAGGGAGAGAACCUGGAAGAAGCCUAUCUUGGCAUUCUUGAUACUACACUGCCAUCCAGCGGAAUUACUUUGCUGUACUGCCACCACCUCUAUGAAGCUUUUUCUCAGCCUAUCUGAAAGUGAGUUGUGAGUGCCCAGGACUUCUGGUUCAAAUACUGAAUCAGCAAUCAAUGAACAAAUGAAGGUACGUCCAGCCAACUGACCUGUUCUGGGGUUAGACAGGGUUUGUUUUUGGAGUAAUAAAUUCAGCUACUCGGGAAUUUGGCUCCAGCUGCAGAUGUAGCAGAGGAGAUGGCUUUGCUUGGCAUCAAUAGGAGGAGAUGCCCUUGGUCCUAUAAAGGCUAAAUACCCCAGUGUAGGGGAAUACCAGAGAUUUGAGGUGAGAGUGGGUACAUCCUCAUAGAACCAGGUAGAUGAGGGAGGGGAAUGGGAGGGGAGAAUAACAUUUGAAAUGUAAAUACAUAAAAUAUUCAAUUAAAAAAAACCAGUAGGAUUAAUUCAGAAAGACUGGUGGUCAGAAAAACUCAACCACAUUGUAGUCUCCUGGCAAAGAGAAACCCCAGGGUCAAGGUCAAAAUGACUCCUCCACCAUGUGGUGACUGUUUUAAGUAGGAAGCUGACCUGUUCAACCAGAGGAAUCAUGGGUAGAAUAAGUCCCAACUUUGACAGGUGGCAGAAAUGGAGCUAUAUUCUCCUAGACUUCAGAGUAAGCUAGCUGUGUGUUCCUGUGUUUUACACUUGCAUCUCAAGAUGUCCUCUGCAGAGGAAGCAAGGUCAUAGAGUAUCCAGAAUCCAUGGCAAAGUCUCUUGCCUCUAGUAGGUUGGAAGACAUUACUAAACUCAGACACAGGAACAUGGUUAGUCUACAGUGUAAGUCUUUUAGAGACUCAACCUCUGCAUAGAAUAGAUGGGUACACCUGACAGGCAGUGCUCAGAUCACUGAGCAGUGACAUUCUGUUCCGUUGGGAGGUGCAAGUCUUUGUUUUCGAUGCUCUGCCCAAGACCCUUCCCUUGAAAGUGUGUGAAAGGUGCCAGGUCCAGUCUUUAGGUAUGUCUUGCCUUGGGCCAGUGAGAACUUGUAGCAAGACAGUCAGGCACAAGAGCUUCAUCCAUAUCUCCAUAAUGAAAUUUGCUCUACCUCAGAAGCUCCCUCUUGUGUAUCUUAAGGCCUUCUUUCUCAGGGAAAUUACAUGCUUCACAAUAGUCACAAAUAUUAUAAAAUACCCUGGGGUAACUCUAACCAAACGAGUGAAGGUUCUGUAUAUAACAACUUCAAGUCUCUAAAUAAAUAAAUAAAUAAAUAGGAAGAAGAGCUCAGAAAAUGGAGAGAUAUCCCACAAUUAUGAACUAGUAGGCUAAACCUAGUAAAAUGGCCAUCUUAACAAAAUCAGUUUACAGAUUAAAUGCAAUCCCCAUCAAAAUCCCAACACAAUUCAUUAAAAACAUGGAAAAAGCAAUUCUCAAUUUCAUGCUGCACAUGAUUUUUAAAAACCAAGAUCCACAUACAAGUAGUACUAUUUCCCUGUGAGAAAAUGAAAUACGGGCAAAUAUCUUUUCUGGCAGAGGCUGAGUAGGAUAGUGGAAAGUAUUGUUUAUAGACAACGAGAUCAUAAUAUUUUCCAGGAACGGUCAAAGAGAUGGAAUACAGCCAGAACUGAGGAGCUAGUGGGUUGGUAGCAGCUGGGAUAGGCUAACAGUUCUUUGAAAUUUACUAGUUCCCAGUUAGGUUCAAUGGGAGCCUACUGUUUCAUUAGAGUCUGAAAUUGCCUCAACACAAAAUCUCAUGUGAGCAGCCAGUACUGGUGCAUACCUUUAAUCACAGCACAUAGGAGGCAGAGUUAUGCAGAUUUCUUGGAGUUCAAGGUCAGCCUGGUCAACAACACAAGUUUCAGGAGAGCCUGACCUGCUACAGAGAGAAACUCUGUCUCGGAAAACAAAAGGUUGGGGCAAAACAGCUCAUGUGAGCUAUGCAAGAUGGCUGACAGACACAACUGAGUACACAGACAGGGUCCUAGAAUUCUUAGGCUAGGGUCUCAGGGAAAGAAAACCAAAGGGUUCUGAUGACAGUUGUCCUUUCUCCUCUUUCUCCUCUGGUUCUCUUCCAUGGUCUGAGGAACUGGGGCUGUGAAAAUAGAAACAAUCCCUAUGUAUUCUCUACUCUGCACAAGCUGGAGUCUCCUCAUCCUUGGCCAUGUGUGGCUGGCACGUAGACUUGCAGACUGGAGAUGCCCUGGAAUUGAACUCACUGCCCCAUGUUUGCAGAACAGUUAAGAAAAAACAUACCUGGAGAACCUUACUAGGAAGAUUUUGAGGGCUGAAAGUUAUGGCUGCUUUGAGCUCUCAAGGGAACUGAUGCCUGGGAUCCUAAGGAUCUGAAUACAUGGAGAAGGACAAAGAAAUUUCCAAUCUGAGGUCUUUGGAUCCUUAAGCCAAUAGAACAGAAUAGAGAGGAGAGCUGCUAACCAAACACUUCGGUCUUCUUGUCUAAAGAUCUCAACUUAUGGAGUCCAUGACCCUGGAUUUGCAUGGGUGGAUGUUCUGGGCCAUUGCUACAUCAUGGAUGUUUUCCCGGCCUGUGGGUUGUGUGGGGACCUGAUUUGAUGCUGAACCACGGAUUCCAAGUCCAAGACAAAGAGAGCUCUCCCAGCAAAACUCCUGAAGUACAGCAGAAGAAUAAAGGGAAUAAAAAGGAAGCCAAAAGACAGAAAAUACAGAAAGGAAGGGAAGAAAAAAAGCAGAGACAACAGGCUGAGUAUCUAAGAGUGGAAGGAGGGAAGGAAUGAAAAAGAGGGAGUAAUGGAAGUGAGAGUAGGGUAGAGAGUAUGAUGAAUUGAAAGGACUGACAUAUUUUUGACCUCUAGAUGGCAUUUCUCGAGACCCUGAAGCUCAUGAACAAAGUCCAGAAUCUCAUGGGCACUGGCUGAUUCCAAGAAAUGAGAUAUAUAUGCAGAAAGGUAUCUAAAAAACAGGUCAGAGGCAAUUGGGGGAGAUUCCUAACCUUGAUCAGCAAGUUACCCACAUAUCUGUGCCCCAGUUGAUGAAUCCGAAAUAGUGUUCCUCAUCACUGUGCAAACAUGGCCGCCUCGAGAUCACAAAGCCCAUAUUCGCAAGUAGCUGAAUUUAUUACUCAGAGAAGCAAGCUGGCUAACCGCAGAACCUGCCAGUUGGCUCAAGCUACCUUCACUUUAAUAUUUGAACCAGAAGCUGAAGCACUCCUCACCCACUACCAGACUUGCCAAGGAAAAGCUUAUGGAGGUGUUGAUAAGAACAGCAAAGCAAUUCCACUGGAUGGCAGUGUAGUAUCAAGAAUGUGAAGAUACCCUUCUUACAGGUUCUCUCCCUCCGCCCUUCUUGGAGUGAAAAAAAAAAAAAAAACUGAAACAGUUCAACAUAACACUUGACUCUGAUAUAUGUUAGAUAGAAAUUGGUUCCUUAUGUCUACAGUACCUAUUAUCACUGAUCUGACCUGGGUGGUCUCUGUUUCAGUGUAUUAAGAUAUUCUCCCACAAGGACAGGGACCAUCCUCAAGGCAUAAGGGCCAAACAGGAAAACCCAAUGAGGAUCCCUUCCCCUGGAUGCAAGGGUCAGGAGAAGCCAUAGAAACAAACUUCUAGCCAGAGACUUAGUCUGGGGCACAGUACAGCACCAUCAGUUCAGCACUCGAGUUCGCACUAAAUUCGGAACUGCAAAGCUAGAAAGAAGAGUCAGAAGACGCAAUACAUAUAAAUUCUUCAGAAGAAACGGGACCUUGGGCUGAGUACAAGUCCCUCCUGUGCUACCAAGAUAUAUCUAUUCUUCAGUCCUUUGCCCCCAGACAUUUUGAGAGAAAACACACUGAAUUAUUGGUGGGAACAUUAAGAACAGAUCACUUGCUGACAGUAUUGAACCAAGAAGCCAAGGUACCCAUCUUUCAGGUUCUCUCCCUCCACCCUUCUUUGAUAAACAACAACAACAACAACACCACACACACACACACACACACACACACACACACACACACACACACACACACAUUUUGCCAAUAAAUCCCAAGUUGACUGACCUUAAUCAUGGCCUCCUUUGGCCAGAGAUGGGCUUUGGAGCUUCACUGUAUACAUACUGUCUCGGAGGUCACAGGCCACACAAGUUCCUCAUUCCCAGUCCAACACAAGAACGUGGCAUGCCCUCAGAAACAUACAGGAAAACUAAGAGCAAUGGUCAAAAGAAGGUCUACAAAUACAUUCUUAGGCAGAAACUUGACCUUGGGCAACAUAUGACUCACUCACAUCUUUCCAGAAAUAAUCUGACUGGCCCAUAUGUACAUAACUUAUAACUGGAAUUUUGUCAGUGAGUGCCAAGGUAAACCAUAGAGUGUUCAGUCCUCCCACGGGGAAGAAGAGAUUGUAUAGCCAUUCGACAACCAAGCUUCUAGUUCAAGGCUACCUGAUUCUUCUCCCUACACAUACAUACCAGGCUCCUGACAGGAAAAGUUGGAAGGACAAAUAAGGAAGACAGUUGGAACAAUAGAGACAACCAGCUAUUCAAACAGAGUCAAGGGCCAGUGAUACAUUCAAACCUAGAAGAAGGAGAUGCCAGGUUGUAGUGAAGAAGAAAAAAAAAAAAAAAAACCACACACAAACACACAGAUGCUUUCCUUUUUGAGUGCCCUAGUUCCUUUUUUACAAACCAGAGUCAAAAUAAAAACUACAACUGUCACCCAAA
This is a non-coding RNA of Rattus norvegicus (Norway rat), 7608 nucleotides long. The record is from RefSeq and is a predicted model, not a curated record. Lineage: Eukaryota; Metazoa; Chordata; Mammalia; Rodentia; Muridae.